Molecule: non-coding RNA, 75 nt
Organism: Gymnothorax javanicus (giant moray)
Lineage: Eukaryota; Metazoa; Chordata; Actinopteri; Anguilliformes; Muraenidae
Source: the annotation of a GenBank genome assembly
GCAGCACAGUGGUGCAGUAGUUAGCACUGUCGCCUCACAGCAAGAAGGUCGUGGGUUCGAUCCCGGCCUGGGGCC